UAGUUAAUAUCAAUCUUAACAUGUAAACAAAAAUACUGUUAAUAAAAUCCUUCUUCCCUAAUAGGUCUAAUUUUGGUCACCAGCAUCUGAUCAUUAUGUCAACUGCCUGUGCAAUGCUUAUGUUUGAGAUAGAUGCUAUGCAUUUGUUUGACACUGU
Molecule: non-coding RNA, 157 nt
Organism: Tinamus guttatus (white-throated tinamou)
Lineage: Eukaryota; Metazoa; Chordata; Aves; Tinamiformes; Tinamidae
Source: RefSeq, a predicted model, not a curated record